UUCGCCUGUUUAUCAAAAACAUCGCCAAAAAUCACUUUUGGUUGAAUCUGCCCAGUGAAUAUUUCAACGGCCGCAGUAUCCUGACUGUGCUAAGGUAGCAUAAUCAUUAGUCUUCUAAUUAAAGACUCGUAUGAAAGAUCUGACGAGAAACUUCCUAUUUUAAUAGUACUUUGAACUUAAAAAAGAGAUCAAAAUUUCUCUUCUUUCCAGGAGGACGACAAGACCCUAUAAAACUUUACUCUUAAAUAAAUCUCUUUCUAAGAAUUUCUCUUCUUUAUCUAAGAGUUAUGCUGGGGCGGCAAAUUUUAUUACCAACAAAAUUCACUUUAACAUUCUAUUUGACCUUCAUAAACACUCCUAUGCAAUAAAGAACAAGUUACUUUAGGGAUAACAGCGUUAUACUUCUUUAGAGCCCUUAUCGACAGAAGCUGAUUACGACCUCGAUGUUGAAUUGAGUCUCCUCUAUGGGGCAGUCCUUAUAGAAGGAAGUCUGUUCGACUUUUAAACCCUCACAUGAUCUGAG
Molecule: ribosomal RNA, 523 nt
Filed under: Cymodoce sp. RW04.086.758
Lineage: Eukaryota; Metazoa; Arthropoda; Malacostraca; Isopoda; Sphaeromatidae
Description: partial 16S ribosomal RNA
Rfam family: Bacterial large subunit ribosomal RNA
Source: RNAcentral